Molecule: non-coding RNA, 732 nt
Organism: Camellia sinensis
Lineage: Eukaryota; Viridiplantae; Streptophyta; Magnoliopsida; Ericales; Theaceae
Source: RefSeq, a predicted model, not a curated record
UAAAUAGAUUGGUUCGGAUUGGUUCCAUGAUUUAAACGGAUUGGAUUGGUUCCAAUUUUUCAGGAACCGUAGAUAACGGAUUGGUCAUGGUUUUACCCCAAUCCGGAUCAUGCUCACCCCUAUUUGUAUGCUACACUUCACAUAUGGCUCUGAGAAAGCUUUGAAGAAGGAAGAAAGCUCUGAGAAACCCAGGCUCAUGAAAUCAAUUACUGAUGCUGAUCUGAACAAUUUGCUAGAGCGAAAAAAAUGGGUUUAUCAAGUAAAUAUGACAGCCACGGUCUAGGCUUCGCAUAGCCGCAUUUUUCAAUUUAAACUUGUGAAUGCUUCCAACUUCAGUGUGAGGUCAAUCAAAAGCAAGAUUUCUUUAAUUUUGCUUCUGAGCAGAUACUCAGGUUCAAUUUCUUCAAGAAAGAAAUAUUAACGUUGUUAUCUGCGAUGAGCGUGACCUUAAUGUCAUCCGUGUUCGAGAGGCAAAGGAAAAAGAAAUUGCCAAGUCAUUGUUGAAGAAGAACGACAAGACCACCGUUUCGGCCAAGGAAAAGGAAAAUUGAUGUUCAGUAGCAUGGCUUUUCAACAUUUCCAUUUUAAGUUCUUUUUUUGACAUAUUUAUUUUGGAGCAUGAACCUCGAUCAUGUUUUUUUUUUUUAAUGUACAAUUGACAUACUACUUCCACAGUGCCAUAUACUGUUUUUAUAGUAAACAAUUUCAUGUAAAUUUGUGAAAUCUUUUUUU